RNAcentral lists this ribosomal RNA (157 nucleotides) under Alternaria alternata. Its description in RNAcentral is "5.8S ribosomal RNA". It matches the Rfam family "5.8S ribosomal RNA". Rfam says of the family: 5.8S ribosomal RNA (5.8S rRNA) is a component of the large subunit of the eukaryotic ribosome. It is transcribed by RNA polymerase I as part of the 45S precursor that also contains 18S and 28S rRNA. Lineage: Eukaryota; Fungi; Ascomycota; Dothideomycetes; Pleosporales; Pleosporaceae. RNAcentral also lists the same sequence under 2 other names. The record is from RNAcentral.
ACUUUCAACAACGGAUCUCUUGGUUCUGGCAUCGAUGAAGAACGCAGCGAAAUGCGAUAAGUAGUGUGAAUUGCAGAAUUCAGUGAAUCAUCGAAUCUUUGAACGCACAUUGCGCCCUUUGGUAUUCCAAAGGGCAUGCCUGUUCGAGCGUCAUUUG